RNAcentral lists this ribosomal RNA (497 nucleotides) under uncultured bacterium. RNAcentral describes it as "partial 16S ribosomal RNA". It matches the Rfam family "Bacterial small subunit ribosomal RNA", at positions 28 to 507 of the family's 1533-position model. The record is from RNAcentral.
GAUGAACGCUGGCGGCGUGCCUAAUACAUGCAAGUCGAGCGAACAGACGAGGAGCUUGCUCCGCUGACGUUAGCGGAGGACGGGUGAGUAACACGUGUAUCACCUACCUAUAAGACUGGGAUAACUUCGGGAAACCGGCGCUAAUACCGGAUGAUAUACUGAACCACAGGGGUCAAUGGUGAAAGACGGUUUUGGUGUCAGGUCUCGAGGGUUCUCGGCCGUAUGGGCUGGUUGGUGAGGUAAUGGCUUUCCAAGGCGACGAUGCGUAGCCGACGUGAGGGGGGGGUCGGCCACCCUGGAACUGGGCCGCCGUCCUGACUACUACGGGAGGCCGCAGUAUCGAAUCGUCCGCAAUGGGCGAAAGCCUGACGCAGUAACGCGGCGUGAGAUAUGGAGGUCUUCGGUUCGUAAAACUCUCUUAUUAGUUAAGAACAAAUGUGUAAUUAACCAUGGACUGCUUGACGGUACUUAAUCAGAAAGCCCCGGCUAACUACGUG